GGCUGGUUAGCUCAGUUGGUUAGAGCAUGGUGCUGCUAACACCAAGGCCAAGGGCUCGGUUCCCUGUACCAGCCA
This is a non-coding RNA of Cynocephalus volans (Philippine flying lemur), 75 nucleotides long. The record is from the annotation of a RefSeq genome assembly. Lineage: Eukaryota; Metazoa; Chordata; Mammalia; Dermoptera; Cynocephalidae.